This is a long non-coding RNA of Lates calcarifer (barramundi perch), 2231 nucleotides long. RefSeq lists it as uncharacterized. The record is from RefSeq and is a predicted model, not a curated record. NCBI's taxonomy places the organism in Eukaryota, Metazoa, Chordata, Actinopteri, Centropomidae. The transcript has 3 exons.
CAGGUGCAGGAGGAGAGAGAACGACAGGAGCAGGAGGAGAAACAAAGACAGGAGAGGACUGAGAGGAGAAGGAGGAGGGAAGAAAGAGAGAAAUGGGAGCGGGAGGAGAAAGAGAGGCGGAGGAAGGAGAAGAGUGGUGGAGAAAGACAGGAGACGACAGGAAGAAGUAAAUCUGAGUGGACCUUUGUCUCAAACCUGAAAAUGUGGCACCUUGAACACAAGAAAGAGAAAAUCGUCAAGGCCCUUAUCAGGACCUGUGAUAAGGAGGAGUCCAUUGAGGCUGGUGAUGAUACUCCUGAAAUGAAGGACAUUCGAGUGUGGAGGCAAAUGGCAAAGAAGAGGAAGCUGCUGAAGAAAAGGCAGACAAUAGAGGACAGAAUAAAACGCAAGAAGGAGAAGCAGAGACAAAGACAAAAGUGGACAAAGAAAGAGAGAGAAAGAAGGGAUGGGAAAGGAGCACGUAAGUGGAAGAAGAAAGGAGAGGAGGAAGACACAGAAAGUGAGGAGAGUGAAGAGAAGAGGACACAGAAAGAUCUGGAUCUGUUCCAAAGAAAAGCCUCAUGUCAAACCUGAAAACGUGGUACCUGAAACAACAGAAGGAGAAAAUCGUCAAGGCCAUUAGCAAGACCCGUGACAAGGAGGUGGCCAUUGAUGUUGGUGAUGAUACUCAUGAGAUGAAAGAGAUAAGAGUAUGGAGACAACAGGCCAAGAGGAAGAUGCUGCUGAAGAAACAGCAAGAACUGGAGGAAAAAAUACAACACAGGUUACAUGUCAUCACAAACAGAAGAGCAAAGAGUGUGGAUGGAAACAAUAAUGUAUCUUAGGCAGCACAAUUUAAUAUAUUUAUUUUUAUAAUUUAAUUUGAUAUAAUUUAAUACUAGAUUAACUUAAUCAAAUGUAAAUAGAAAUUAUAUUUUUAUAAUUUAAUUUAACUUUUAUAUAUUUAUAUUUUAUUAUUAGUCAUAUUUAAUAUUUAGGAUAGAGUAAUUUAUUUUUUAACUAGUUGUAGAAAUAAUAUAUAGUUAAUAAUAAUAUAUAGUUCUAGAAAUAAUAUAGUUAGAGAAGCAAAAGUUAUUUAAUAUAAAAUAAAGUUAUUGUCCUCCGAUGAGGGGGGGUGGUGGUGGGUCAAAAUUAAAAUAUUUAUUAAGUAUUUUAUUAUUAGUAAUAUUUAAUAUAAUUUAGAAUAAAGCUAUUUAUUUUUUAACUAGUUGUAGAAAUAAUAUAUAGUUAAUAAUAAUAUAUAGUUCUAGAAAUAAUAUAAUUAGAGAAGCAAAAUUAAUUUCAUAUAGAAUAAAGUUAUUGUCCUCCGAUGAGGGGGGGUGGUGGUGGGUCAAAAUAAAAUUUAAACAAAAAGAAAAAGAAAAGAGAACCAUGAAAAACACUUAAGCACUAUAAAAUAUUAUAUAAUUGGAUCUAACUAAAUGUAAUAAAAUAUUUUAUUAGUAGUAAUAUUUAAUAUAAUUUUGAAUAAAGUCAUUAUUUUUUAAAAAAGUUGUAGAAAUAAUAUAUAAUUAAUAAUAUAUAGUUGUAAAAAUAAUAUAGUUAGAGAAGCAAAAUUAAUUUAAUAUAGAAUAAAGUUAUUGUCCUCCGAUGAGGGGGGGUGGUGGCGGGUCAAAAUUAAAAAAAGAAAUGAGAAACAUGAAAAACACUUAAGCACUAUAAAAUAAUUGGAUCUAACUAAAUGUAAUAAAAUAUUUUAUUAGUAGUAAUAUUUAAUAUAAUUUAGGAUAAAGUCAUUUAUUUUUUAACUAGUUGUAGAAAGAAUAUAGAAAAAUUCAUUUAAUAUAGAAUAAAGUUAUUGUCCUCCGAUGAGGGGGGGUGGUGGCGGGUCAAAAUUAAAAUAUUUAUUAACUAUUUUAAUAUUAGUAAUAUUUAAUAUAAUUUAGGAUAAAGCAAUUUAUUUUUAACUAGUUGUAGAAAUAAUAUAUAGUUAAUAAUUAUAGUUCUAGAAAGAAUAUUAGAGAAGCAAAAUUAACUUCAUAUAGAAUAAAGUUAUUGUCCUCCGAUGAGGGGGGGUGGUGGUGGGUCAAAAUAAAAUUUAAACAAAAAGAAAAAGAAAAGAGAAACAUGAAAAACACUUAAGCACUAUAAAAUAUAAUUGGAUCUAACUAAAUGUAAUAAAAUAUUUUAUUAUUUGUAAUAUUUAAUAUAAUUUAGGAUAAAGUCAUUUAUUUUUUAAGUAGUUGUAGAAAGAAUAUAGCAAAAUUCAUUUAAUAUAGAAUAAAGUUAUU